Molecule: non-coding RNA, 2284 nt
Organism: Aegilops tauschii subsp. strangulata
Lineage: Eukaryota; Viridiplantae; Streptophyta; Magnoliopsida; Poales; Poaceae
Source: RefSeq, a predicted model, not a curated record
UCUAAACCCUAAUCCCCAUUCUAUCCUCUGUUCCCUCAGCCGCCGCCACAACUGCCCACUCUCGAUUCCGGCGAUUCCGGCGGCUACCGCCGGCGCGGUGCACACCGCGGAGCUCGCCUCGCUUGGGUCCAUCCUCCCCUCCGGCAAGAUUUUCCCUUCCCAGCCUCUACCGCUCGCCCAAAACCCACACCCGUCCUAGGGUUUCGGCCUCUGACAUCGCCUUCGUCGUCGACGCACCUCCGGCGGCUCUUCUCCGUCGUCUACAGCGCCCCACGCGCGACCUCGCUUCCUGAUGGUCAACCUCCAGCAGGGCAGCCUGGAGGACCCCCGCCCGCAGGAUCUACGGACGCGGCGCACCCUGCAGACGCCUGUCCUGGACGAGGGCGGCCACGGGGGCCUUGUCCUGCUCAACGACGGCCGCGGCGAAUGCCAGUGCUCCUCCUCCUUCUCGACCUCCAAGGAGGGGCGCCGGUACAGCACAAGCACGUCCAGCCCCUGAACCCACCUUCUGCACCCAUCCAGCGGCGUACAUGGCAUGCUCCUCCUUGAUUCAGUCGUCCCCAAUGGGCUUUCUUCGCUGGAGGAGGUGGAGCAGGAAGUCCAGCACCCCCCUUGUUCUCCUAUCAUCCAGUCGUGGACGAGCUCAAUGAUGGCUGCGUCCUGCCCUCCUAGCGUGUUUAGGGGUGGAUUCAGUUGCUGAGAUGAACAUGCGAGCUUGAUUAGUAACCGAUGGUUUUGUGGAUCUGUUGCUCUUGCACCGUUACACAUAAUUUAAUCAAGGAAUACCUCCAGAGUUGACGAUGAUUUUUAGCCUGAUAAGGUAGAAGUAUGGCUAACCGGAUGUUUAGCUUGGUGUGUGAAUUAAAAAGAACUGAUAGAUGGUUUGGCUGCCACUAGGAUUUUGAGGUCAAAUCUGUACCAGAACCAAAAUGAGCAUGACACUGUACCAGCACUCAGAACUAAGAAAUUGUCAGUCGUUGUGUAUUGCAUUUAUCUUUUCGUUUGGAUGCCAAAAAUUAUCUUCUUUGUGGCUUGAUUAACUUCCCUUUUUUCUGUUCAAGCCAUUUUGAAUGAGAUUACUACCAAUGACAAAUAGUAUGGAAGGCGAAACAACAAUUUACUAUAAUUACAUUGCCUUCACUUUAUCUAUAAUGUCACCAUCAACUGUUUCUAUGUUACCUUGCAGAUUCACUCAACAGAAGACACUUGUAAUAUUGUGCAAAUAAUUAGCUAGCAUUGUGAAAAAUCCUAUUUCUCAAAAAAAGUUAAGAGUGUGAUAUUUAGUUGAGAUAUGACAUAUCAAUGCUAAUAUAUUAGGACGUCCUAAUUGUGUAGUUCCUAGCUAAAUAUGUAAGGGCAUGUAAUGUUCGUAACAUAUUGAAGUGUGAUACUACACAAUAUUUGUUGUAUCUUUGGUUGGACUAUUUUUAUGUGUGUAAUAGUACAAACAAAUUGAGUGACUUCUACUUGAUCCAAUCCUUUAUUAGAAGUAGUAGUAUCUUACAAAUGUCUUUUCAGCUAGAUUAGUCGUAAGCCACAUAUGCCAGAUCUUUUUCAUGUGGAAUAUCAUAUCAGAUAGGACACAUAAUCCAUCAAGACAUAAUCAUCAUGAAAUUGGUCCAUUCCUUUUUUUCCUUUUGAGAAACAAUGCCUAGAAAUUUUCAUUAAUGUGCAAUAUUCAGCUGGGCUGCAUUUCUUAUCGAGUUUACUGUAGUGAUAGUGUAAAUUAAGCACAACAGAGUUUACUACCAACUCUAUUGAUCUAUGUUUGCUCAUCAUUCCUUUUUGUUGCCACCGGUUGUCCCUUUUCAGACUUUUGUUAAUUUGUUGCACUACUUUUGCAUCCUGGGAGUGAAAAAAAUGUAUAACUUGAUAAUGUGUAGCAAGCUACUUGUAGUUUAACCCACUGGUUGUAAUAUUUUAUAACUUGACAUAUUUUUCAUCAUGUGGCAGAUAUUAGUAUGGGAGCAGUUUCAAGAACAAAGACAUGCGUUUUGACAACAUUUUGGCAUGGACGGGUUGAUUUGCUGCUAUAAGUGUUGGAUGACCCCUAAUUGGUGUGUGGCAGCCUGACAAGAGUGGCGUGGCCUUGGUUGAUGGGGGUGGUGCUGGCUGCAGAGUAGCAUAGUGUUCUCCAAUACAUGCUUGUAAAUUAAUGUUUUUUGGGUCUUUUAUUUGCGCUCCUGUAUAAAGUGUACUUUUGGAUAUGUUGUAAUUUUCUUUUCUGAUGACAUGAGCAUAUACUUUUUGUCAAAUUCUUAUUGGCUUAAAUUUUCAUGGAAAA